UACGUAGGGGGCGAGCGUUGUCCGGAUUCAUUGGGCGUAAAGAGCUCGUAGGCGGUUCGGCAAGUCGGGUGUGAAAACUCCAGGCUCAACCUGGAGACGCCACCCGAUACUGCUGUGACUCGAGUCCGGUAGGGGACCACGGAAUUCCUGGUGUAGCGGUGAAAUGCGCAGAUAUCAGGAGGAACACCGAUGGCGAAGGCAGGUCUCUGGGCAUUAACUGACGCUGAGGAGCGAAAGCAUGGGGAGCGAACAGG
RNAcentral lists this ribosomal RNA (254 nucleotides) under uncultured bacterium. RNAcentral's name for it is "partial 16S ribosomal RNA". It matches the Rfam family "Bacterial small subunit ribosomal RNA", at positions 524 to 776 of the family's 1533-position model. The record is from RNAcentral.